GAUGAAGAACGCAGCGAAAUGCGAUACUUGGUGUGAAUUGCAGAAUCCCGUGAACCAUCGAGUCUUUGAACGCAAGUUGCGCCCGAAGCCAUUAGGCCGAGGGCACGCCUGCCUGGGCGUCACACGUCGUUGCCCCCCCCAUCUACUCCUUCGGGAUUGCGGGGGGCGGAUGAUGGCCUCCCGUGCGCCUCGCCGCGCGGUUGGCAUAAAUGCCAAGUCCUCGGCGACGCACGCCACGACAAUCGGUGGUUGCGAAACCUCGGUUGCCCGUCGUGUGCGGUCGUCGCGCAUCGAGGGCUCGAAAAAAUUGCCGAGUUCCGGCUCGGCUUUCAACGCGACCCCAGGUCAGGCGGGGUUACCCGCUGAAUUUAAGCAUAUCAAUAAGCGGAGUA
This 392-nucleotide unclassified non-coding RNA is filed under the name soil metagenome. RNAcentral describes it as "partial contains 5.8S ribosomal RNA, internal transcribed spacer 2, and large subunit ribosomal RNA". The stretch from base 1 to 122 matches the Rfam family "5.8S ribosomal RNA", at positions 35 to 154 of the family's 154-position model. The record is from RNAcentral.